RNAcentral lists this ribosomal RNA (771 nucleotides) under uncultured bacterium. RNAcentral's name for it is "bacterial SSU rRNA". It matches the Rfam family "Bacterial small subunit ribosomal RNA", at positions 8 to 796 of the family's 1533-position model. The record is from RNAcentral.
AGAGUUUGAUCCUGGCUCAGGACGAACGCUGGCGGCGUGCUUAACACAUGCAAGUCGAACGGAAAGGCCCUUCGGGGUACUCGAGUGGCGAACGGGUGAGUAACACGUGGGUGAUCUGCCCUGCACUUUGGGAUAAGCCUGGGAAACUGGGUCUAAUACCGAAUAUGACCAUGCGCCUCCUGGUGUGUGGUGGAAAGCUUUUGCGGUGUGGGAUGGGCCCGCGGCCUAUCAGCUUGUUGGUGGGGUAAUGGCCUACCAAGGCGACGACGGGUAGCCGGCCUGAGAGGGUGACCGGCCACACUGGGACUGAGAUACGGCCCAGACUCCUACGGGAGGCAGCAGUGGGGAAUAUUGCACAAUGGGCGCAAGCCUGAUGCAGCGACGCCGCGUGAGGGAUGACGGCCUUCGGGUUGUAAACCUCUUUCAGCACAGACGAAGCGCAAGUGACGGUAUGUGCAGAAGAAGGACCGGCCAACUACGUGCCAGCAGCCGCGGUAAUACGUAGGGUCCGAGCGUUGUCCGGAAUUACUGGGCGUAAAGAGCUCGUAGGUGGUUUGUCGCGUUGUUCGUGAAAACUCACAGCUUAACUGUGGGCGUGCGGGCGAUACGGGCAGACUUGAGUACUGCAGGGGAGACUGGAAUUCCUGGUGUAGCGGUGGAAUGCGCAGAUAUCAGGAGGAACACCGGUGGCGAAGGCGGGUCUCUGGGUAGUAACUGACGCUGAGGAGCGAAAGCGUGGGGAGCGAACAGGAUUAGAUACCCUGGUAGUCC